This 85-nucleotide transfer RNA is filed under the name Calorimonas adulescens. RNAcentral's name for it is "Thermoanaerobacteraceae bacterium A05MB tRNA-Leu". It matches the Rfam family "tRNA". Rfam says of the family: Transfer RNA (tRNA) molecules are approximately 80 nucleotides in length. The record is from RNAcentral. Lineage: Bacteria; Bacillati; Bacillota; Clostridia; Thermoanaerobacterales; Thermoanaerobacteraceae.
GCGGGAGUGGCGGAACUGGCAGACGCGCAAGACUUAGGAUCUUGUGCCUGUGGGCGUGGGGGUUCAAGUCCCUUCUCCCGCACCA